Long non-coding RNA from Ictalurus punctatus (channel catfish), 402 nucleotides. NCBI's taxonomy places the organism in Eukaryota, Metazoa, Chordata, Actinopteri, Siluriformes, Ictaluridae. The record is from Ensembl.
GCUUAUCAGACACAUUCCCAAUCGUCUUCAGCAGUAGAAACUGUCCACAGGGCAAGCUGAAAAUGUUUGUUUUCAUAGUGAAUGUUUGUGGAUGUACCAGAUCACGGAAGCCAGGGUACAGCGCACUGGAAUCUGACGUGCUAAGACCUGCAACACAGCACCCCAGAUACCAGUGACACAAGCGUCAGGCGAAGAACCACAGCCGCUGAUGUUCAGUCAUUGGGCUUAUUGCAGACACUUCAAAUGAAAGCAGAUGUUGGACUACAGAGGCGUUGGUGACCUGAGCUAGCUGAGCACACCCACUUUCACCCCUUCUUUUCCCCCCAUCUUUUCCAGGAUACUCUUCCCUCAAUCCAUCAUAAAACCAUCAAAGUAUAAAGUAAUGCAGGGGGAAGAAAUGCG